Molecule: non-coding RNA, 101 nt
Filed under: unclassified sequences
Description: GP20-a RNA
Rfam family: GP20-a RNA
About the family: gut metagenomes. Environment (Cow rumen (57))
Source: RNAcentral
UAACGCCGAGCGUACAGGCAUUUAAACGCACGCACGCGCUGACGCUGAUACAGACAGCGGUUUUAUAAAUUAAAGUGACUUAAAGCGUGGGAAAGGACAAA